ACGAACGCUGGCGGCGUGCUUAACACAUGCAAGUCGAACGGUGAACGAGGGAGCUUGCUCCCUCCGGAUCAGUGGCGAACGGGUGAGUAACACGUGAGCAAUCUGCCCCGAACUCUGGGAUAAGCGUUGGAAACGACGUCUAAUACCGGAUACGACGCGGGAGGGCAUCCUCUCCGCGUGGAAAGAACUUCGGUUCGGGAUGAGCUCGCGGCCUAUCAGCUUGUUGGUGAGGUAACGGCUCACCAAGGCGACGACGGGUAGCCGGCCUGAGAGGGUGACCGGCCAAACUGGGACGGGGACACGGCCCAGACGCCGACGGGGGGCAGGGGUGGGGAAAUUUGCACAAGGGGCGAAAGCCGGAUGCAGAAACGCCGGGGGGGGGACGACGGCCUUCGGGUGGUAAACCUCUUUUAGCAGGGAAGAAGCGAAAGGGACGGUACCGGCAAAAAAAGCCCCGGCUAACUACGU
RNAcentral lists this ribosomal RNA (468 nucleotides) under uncultured bacterium. RNAcentral's name for it is "partial 16S ribosomal RNA". It matches the Rfam family "Bacterial small subunit ribosomal RNA", at positions 29 to 506 of the family's 1533-position model. The record is from RNAcentral.